AUUAACAUAAUGUGCGUGUAGAGCUAAGCUUGCAAGCUAAUUGUUUUGUGUUGUAAUACUGUAUUUCAUAAACAACGUACCAUAUUUACACACGUGUAUGUUGAAUUAUGCAGACUAUCGUUUUUUUUAUCGAUGUUGGUUUAGACAUGUUUACAAACUUGCUAAGUUGCUAAGCUAAAUACAAAUACAAAUGCCAGCUAAACUGUUACCAGUAAAAUUUGUUCUCAUGAUCAAACUCAAGAAACUCUAAGUACAGAUGAUGUGUUUAAAGUUAUAUGUAUUUUACUGUUGUAUUUACUUGAAGCUUUCUUAGAUUUUGAAACGAAGUAAACACGUAAUGUGUGUUGCUAAUGUUGGGGCAUGUAAUAUGUAAUACAUUAACGUUUUAAUGAAUAGUCUAACGAGUUAUAGUCGUUGUACUCUAUUGUUAUAAUAUGUAUUUUUGACUGAAUACAUGUUUGUUUUAUUUGUCUAUAUCCUAGAUUCGCAGCUGGACACAUCCUUCUACACUGUAUGCAAACAUGCAACAUCAUUACACACAGUACAAGGAGUCAGACUGGCAUAUGAGGAGCAAAGGAACCCAGGCAGUAGCAUCGUUUCACAAUGUUUCCAUCACCAUCAUCAGUGGAUGCCUUUGCCGUCCGUAGCCUGAGAUUUCAGAUUUGCAGCAAAAAAAAUUUGAUUUUCUCAUUUAUUGGAAUGCUGUGCAGGUAUUUGUACCUUGCAGCCAUACAUUACAAUGUCACCAAGCCGUAACAAAAGCAGGAGAGGGAAAGUACAAGGCUAUGUUCCCAAAACACACAAGUGACAUACCUUAUGUGGAGGAUGUGAUCAGGCUUGUGUUUGAUGAGGUAUUUGAAGAUAAGCUGAAGGAAACCCCGAUUCCAAUGGACCUGGCAUCACAGUUUGAGAGACCUUCAAAGGAGGACGUGAUUGCAUGCCAUCUUCAGUGCAGGGGUCGUCGAAAGCCAAAAUUGUGACCGAUCUGAUCAGGAAGCUCCAAGCGUAUCUGGAGAACAACACACGACAGGAUGAUAACCUUAUAGUGUCGUCUUAAAUAGCACCAGCUGACAAAGCUUUGAUAUGCCAUUUAUCUGAAUAGAUAGCUGUAAGAAAUGAAUUGAACAAUUUUUGAA
Non-coding RNA from Paramisgurnus dabryanus, 1136 nucleotides. The record is from RefSeq and is a predicted model, not a curated record. Lineage: Eukaryota; Metazoa; Chordata; Actinopteri; Cypriniformes; Cobitidae.